RNAcentral lists this ribosomal RNA (642 nucleotides) under Triticum aestivum (bread wheat). Its description in RNAcentral is "partial small subunit ribosomal RNA". Lineage: Eukaryota; Viridiplantae; Streptophyta; Magnoliopsida; Poales; Poaceae. The record is from RNAcentral.
AUGUCAGUGUUUAGCCUACCUAAAGGGGUCUGUAAAGACAUCACCGAUUUGAUUACCCAAUUCUGGUGGGGUGAUGACGAUGACCACAAAAGAUUGCAUUGGUACACCUGGUGGAAGCUUUGUUACCCAAAAAAUGAAGGAGGGAUGGGCUUUAGGGAUCUCCACUCCUUUAAUCUUGCUAUGCUAUCAAAACAAUGCUGGCGUCUCAUAACCAAUCCAGAGUCUCUUUGUGCGAGGGUACUAAAAGAGAAAUAUUUUCCUAAUUGUAGUCUGCUCCAUGCUACAUUGAAAAAUGGAUCCUCCUUCACUUGGCAAAGUAUCAUGAAAGGAUUGGAAACUUUCAAAUUGGGAUACAUUUGGAGGAUUGGAAACGGUGAGAAGGUCAAUAUAUGGACUGAUCCAUGGAUCUCAGGGAGCCCGGAUAGGAAGGUUAUUUCAGGUCGUGGUCAUACUCUGCUCAAUUUUGUUAGUGACUUAAUCGAUCCUAUAUCAGGGACAUGGGAUGAAGCAUUGCUUCAAACAAUUCUGAAUCCGGUCGACGUUAGGCGAAUUAUGCAAAUACCGCUGAGUCACAAUGCUUUUGACGAUUUUAUUGCGUGGCAUCCUGACCGCAGAGGGAUAUUCACUGUACGAUCGGCGUAA